GGGGAAUAUUGGGCAAUGGGGGAAACCCUGACCCAGCAACGCCGCGUGAAGGAAGAAGGCCUUCGGGUUGUAAACUUCUUUUACCAGGGGCGAAAGAAAUGACGGUACCUGGAGAAAAAGCAACGGCUAACUACGUGCCAGCAGCCGCGGUAAUACGUAGGUUGCGAGCGUUGUCCGGAUUUACUGGGUGUAAAGGGCGUGUAGGCGGAGAUGCAAGUUGGGAGUGAAAUCCAUGGGCUCAACCCAUGAACUGCUUCCAAAACUGUAUCCCUUGAGUAUCGGAGAGGCAAGCGGAAUUCCUAGUGUAGCGGUGAAAUGCGUAGAUAUUAGGAGGAACACCAGUGGCGAAGGCGGCUUGCUGGACGACAACUGACGCUGAGGCGCGAAAGCGUGGGGAGCAAACAGGAUUAGAUACCCUGGUAGUCCACGCUGUAAACGAUGAAUACUAGGUGUGGGAGGACUGACCCCUUCCGUGCCGCAGUUAACACAAUAAGUAUUCCACCUGGGGAGUACGACCGCAAGGUUGAAACUCAAAGGAAUUGACGGGGGCCCGCACAAGCAGUGGAUUAUGUGGUUUAAUUCGACGCAACGCGAAGAACCUUACCAGGACUUGACAUCCAACUAACGAAGUAGAGAUACAUUAGGUGCCCUUCGGGGAAAGUUGAGACAGGUGGUGCAUGGUUGUCGUCAGCUCGUGUCGUGAGAUGUUGGGUUAAGUCCCGCAACGAGCGCAACCCCUAUUGUUAGUUGCUACGAAAGAGCACUCUAGCGAGACUGCCGUUGACAAAACGGAGGAAGGCGGGGACGACGUCAAAUCAUCAUGCCCCUUAUGUCCUGGGCUACACACGUAAUACAAUGGUGGAAAACAGAGGGAAGCAAAGCCGCGAGGCAGAGCAAAACCCUAAAAGCCAUCUCAGUUCGGAUUGCAGGCUGCAACUCGCCUGCAUGAAGCUGGAAUUGCUAGUAAUCGCGGAUCAGAAUGCCGCGGUGAAUACGUUCCCG
This 1002-nucleotide ribosomal RNA is filed under the name uncultured bacterium. Its description in RNAcentral is "bacterial SSU rRNA". It matches the Rfam family "Bacterial small subunit ribosomal RNA", at positions 356 to 1376 of the family's 1533-position model. The record is from RNAcentral.